AGGCGUGAGCCACCGUGCCCGGCCGCCAAUGAGGUUUAUCUGAGGUGUGAUUAUUGCUAACUGAAAACUUUUCGCAAUAUUCCAUCAUGAUGACUUGAAAUAUAGUCAGCACUGGCAAUUUUUGACAGUCUGUACAGA
Rhinopithecus bieti (black snub-nosed monkey) is the source of this 138-nucleotide small nuclear RNA. Its record names the gene U4. It matches the Rfam family "U4 spliceosomal RNA". Rfam says of the family: U4 small nuclear RNA (U4 snRNA) is a component of the major U2-dependent spliceosome. The structure of U4 snRNA from yeast and human has been reported. NCBI's taxonomy places the organism in Eukaryota, Metazoa, Chordata, Mammalia, Primates, Cercopithecidae. The record is from Ensembl.